AUUAGGCAGGAGGAGAUGGAAACGUUAUUGAGCAAGAGCAAAGUAUAGAAGCUUUGAAAAUGAUCCAGUGAAGAGAAUUUUUAAAAAGGGAAAGAUAAUGGUGGGGGAGACAAGGUUUUUGGAGGCUUCUCUUCACUGAUAAGAAGCGGUCUCAGAACACCGGAGAGUCAUGGAAAAUGGGAAACUUCACACCCAGAGGGAGCUGGUGCAACAGAGGAUGGAAAUCUGAGAAACAUUUUGAGAACUCUCCUGUAAGAUUAUUCUGAACAAGGGAGAAUGAAAGAAGCCAAGCUUGCUGUAAAUGUUUACCUCCUAGCAAGAAAACAGAUUUAAAAAGCAAGCAAUUAUGUAAAGCAAAGGUUCAGAUGUCAUGGAAGUCACCUGUAUGAAGGACAUUUACUAAGACUUGGAAAGAUCAGAAGUGAAUUCCUUGAUGUGUUGCUGUGAUUGCAGAUGCAGUAAAGGAAUGAACAUCCCCUUCCUCUCCUCUUGCAUCAUAUAAGCAACUUCCACACAUGUCCUCUGGAUUUAUCAAGUUGGUCCAGAAACUUCUAGUCUGUGAACCGUGUUUAUAAGAAAGAUAGGCCUAAUAUGGCAGUACCAGCAAGGUCUAUUUGAUAAUGGACUAAGGAGAAAUAACACUCGAGAGCAGGAAAGGGAAGAGUUAAAAACAGAGUGAGUGUGACCGCUGGGAAGGCUGUGAUAAGGCGAGUGCUUGCUGGGGGUGCCUGUUGUCACAGAGUCCAGAGGUGCUGACGGAGAUCAAGUCCGUGGAGUCUGAGGAGGCCCAUCCAUGAAACUACAAGCAAACAUAAACUAGUACAGGGAUGUCUACCUGAACCCUCAAAGAGCCAAAAGCAACAUCACUUCAGAAGAAUAAACUGCCUCAUUUGCCAAAAUGAAGGUCCUGUGACCUCUCCCAUUCUGUGGCUGUGUCGCCUAGCAUUGGCCUAAUUUGUCAGGGAAUCUGAUGCAUCCAGGACCCUAACAUCUGAUUUCUGUACCUGUUACCUGUUUCCCUUUGGUGCUCCACCUUAGCUCACAGCUAGGCUCA
RNAcentral lists this long non-coding RNA (1054 nucleotides) under Apteryx owenii (little spotted kiwi). RNAcentral describes it as "lncRNA (ENSAOWG00000002434.1)". Lineage: Eukaryota; Metazoa; Chordata; Aves; Apterygiformes; Apterygidae. The record is from RNAcentral.